This 465-nucleotide ribosomal RNA is filed under the name uncultured bacterium. RNAcentral describes it as "partial 16S ribosomal RNA". It matches the Rfam family "Bacterial small subunit ribosomal RNA", at positions 28 to 507 of the family's 1533-position model. The record is from RNAcentral.
GACGAACGCUGGCGGCGUGCUUAACACAUGCGAGUCGAACGGAAAGGCCCUGCUUGCCGGGUACUCGAGUGGCGAACGGGUGAGUAACACGUGGGUGAUCUGCCCUGCACUUCGGGAUAAGCUUGGGAAACUGGGUCUAAUACCGGAUAGGAACCAUCUUUAGUGUGGUGGUUGGAAAGUUUUUUCGGUGUAGGAUGAGCUCGCGGCCUAUCAGCUUGUUGGUGGGGUAAUGGCCUACCAAGGCGGCGACGGGUAGCCGGCCUGAGAGGGUGUACGGCCACAUUGGGACUGAGAUACGGCCCAGACUCCGACGGGAGGCAGCAGUGGGGAAUAUUGCACAAUGGGCGCAAGCCUGAUGCAGCGACGCCGCGUGGGGGAUGAAGGCCUUCGGGUUGGAAACUCCUUUCGCUAGGGACGAAGCUUUUUGUGACGGUACCUAGAUAAGAAGCACCGGCUAACUACGUG